GGUCGGUUUUUAAGUCUGAUGUGAAAGCCUUCGGCUCAACCGAAGAAGUGCAUCGGAAACUGGGAAACUUGAGUGCAGAAGAGGACAGUGGAACUCCAUGUGUAGCGGUGAAAUGCGUAGAUAUAUGGAAGAACACCAGUGGCGAAGGCGGCUGUCUGGUCUGUAACUGACGCUGAGGCUCGAAAAGUAUGGGGUAGCAAACAGGAUUAGAUACCCUGGUAG
Molecule: ribosomal RNA, 222 nt
Filed under: uncultured bacterium
Lineage: Bacteria
Description: partial 16S ribosomal RNA
Rfam family: Bacterial small subunit ribosomal RNA
Source: RNAcentral